This 373-nucleotide ribosomal RNA is filed under the name uncultured bacterium. RNAcentral's name for it is "bacterial SSU rRNA". It matches the Rfam family "Bacterial small subunit ribosomal RNA", at positions 29 to 417 of the family's 1533-position model. The record is from RNAcentral.
AACGAACGCUGGCGGCAUGCCUAACACAUGCAAGUCGAACGGGAUCCGAGCUUCGGUUCGGUGAGAGUGGCGGACGGGUGAGUAACGCGUGGGAACCUGCCCAGUGGUGGGGGAUAACUGCGGGAAACUGCAGCUAAUACCGCAUGAGCCCGAGAGGGGGAAAGAUUUAUCGCCAUUGGAGGGGCCCGCGUUCGAUUAGGUAGUUGGUGAGGUAACGGCUCACCAAGCCUUCGAUCGAUAGCUGGUCUGAGAGGAUGAUCAGCCACACUGGGACUGAGAUACGGCCCAGACUCCUACGGGAGGCAGCAGUGGGGGAAUAUUGCGCAAUGGGCGAAAGCCUGACGCAGCGACGCCGCGUGGGUGAUGAAGGCCU